UACGUAGGGGGCAAGCGUUGUCCGGAUUUAUUGGGCGUAAAGAGCGUGUAGGCGGUUUACAGGUCCGCUGUGAAAACUCGAGGCUCAACCUCGAGCUGUCGGUGGAAACUUUCUGGCUAGAGUCCGGAAGAGGAGACUGGAAUUCCUGGUGUAGCGGUGAAAUGACGCAGAUAUCAGGAGGAACACCGAUGGCGAAGGCAGGUCUCCUGGGCCACUACUGACGCUGAGAAGCGAAAGCGUGGGGAGCGAACAGG
This 254-nucleotide ribosomal RNA is filed under the name uncultured bacterium. RNAcentral's name for it is "partial 16S ribosomal RNA". It matches the Rfam family "Bacterial small subunit ribosomal RNA", at positions 524 to 776 of the family's 1533-position model. The record is from RNAcentral.